RNAcentral lists this ribosomal RNA (463 nucleotides) under uncultured bacterium. RNAcentral describes it as "partial 16S ribosomal RNA". It matches the Rfam family "Bacterial small subunit ribosomal RNA", at positions 28 to 507 of the family's 1533-position model. The record is from RNAcentral.
GACGAACGCUGGCGGCGUGCUUAACACAUGCAAGUCGAACGGUGAACCUCUUCGGAGGGGAUCAGUGGCGAACGGGUGAGUAACACGUGGGCAACCUGCCCCCGGCUCUGGGAUAACUCCAAGAAAUUGGGGCUAAUACCGGAUGUUCACCGCUUCCCGCAUGGGUGGCGGUGGAAAGGGUUUCCGGCUGGGGAUGGGCCCGCGGCCUAUCAGCUUGUUGGUGGGGUAGUGGCCUACCAAGGCGACGACGGGUAGCCGGCCUGAGAGGGUGACCGGCCACACGGGGACAGGGACACGGCCCGGACUCCUACGGGGGGCAGCAGUGGGGAAUAUUGCGCAAUGGACGGAAGCCUGACGCAGCGACGCCGCGUGGGGGAUGACGGCCUUCGGGUUGUAAACCUCUUUCAGCAGGGACGAAGCGCAAGUGACGGUACCUGCAGAAGGAGCACCGGCCAGCUACGUG